Molecule: ribosomal RNA, 302 nt
Filed under: uncultured Thalassolituus sp.
Lineage: Bacteria; Pseudomonadati; Pseudomonadota; Gammaproteobacteria; Oceanospirillales; Oceanospirillaceae
Description: bacterial SSU rRNA
Rfam family: Bacterial small subunit ribosomal RNA
Source: RNAcentral
AUUGAACGCUGGCGGCAGGCUUAACACAUGCAAGUCGAGCGGAAACGAUGAUAGCUUGCUAUCAGGCGUCGAGCGGCGGACGGGUGAGUAACGCGUAGGAAACUACCCAGUAGUGGGGGACAACAGUUGGAAACGACUGCUAAUACCGCAUACGCUCUACGGAGGAAAGGGGGCUUCGGCUCUCGCUAUUGGAUGUGCCUGCGUGAGAUUAGCUAGUUGGUGGGGUAAAGGCCUACCAAGGCAACGAUCUCUAGCUGGUCUGAGAGGAUGAUCAGCCACACUGGGACUGAGACACGGCCCAG